Molecule: non-coding RNA, 1162 nt
Organism: Schizosaccharomyces pombe (fission yeast)
Lineage: Eukaryota; Fungi; Ascomycota; Schizosaccharomycetes; Schizosaccharomycetales; Schizosaccharomycetaceae
Source: the annotation of a GenBank genome assembly
UAUAGUUUCCACCAUGAUAAGCAAGCAUACCCUUAGUUCCAUGUAGACUUUGGCGACUAGGGGUAAAAUCUUUUACUAUUCCAAACAAAUUGACAAUAGUAUUCUUCUUUUGUAAUUCUUGAGAGCUUCUAAUGGACUGAAAUGUAAGUUCCUUUUUCAUUGUUAGCAAAACAAAUAUAAAUCCAUUGAUAUCUCACUCCAAUCUUAUAUUCUCCAGCAUUUAAUAACUCAUUCAACUGAAGACUGUCAAUAACGUCCUCUCCCAUGCUUGAUCAACGAAUGAUCCAAAUAUCCUUUAAGAACAACAAAUGAGUUUUAGCCUUUCUCAGAAACCUAAAUGGAAUUGGUAAAAGCUUUUUAAACCAAGACAACCCCUUGAAAGUGAUGAACCUUCAGAUUAUUCAAUAGACUGCGUGAGAGUUACUUGUUCAAGCUUGAUCAUUCCCCUUCUUCAAAUUCCUAGGAUGAACUAAGGGUUAUUCAGUUUUAUUUUACCAAUAAUGAAUUUGUUUCUUUAUCAAGCAAAAGAAUGACCCACUCCUCAAUCUUGAGGUUAUGAGUGUUCAUGGCUAGCUAUUAAAUGGAUCGCCGUAAAGUCCUUAAGCUGAGCGCAGUUGUAAAACUUUAGACAUAUCCCAGUUUCUGCUAGGCUAUUAUUGAAAGAGUUUGCCGAGUAUCAAGAUUUACUAGUAUUAUAAUAAGCAGAUCGCAUACCGGUUCAUGCCAAUUGGUACUUAAAAAUUUUAAUGUAUGCGGUUCAUCUCGAAAACUCAAGACGCUUACUUUAGCUAAUCUAACGUUCAGUUUAGAAAAAGAAUGCAAUGCAAAAAGCGAUAGCUUAUUAAAAGACUUUCCUAAGGUAUUGCAUUCACGAUCCAGAACAGCAAACCUGCAACGAUCUAUUUUGGUUUUAAAAGCGCCAACCUGCUCUAUGCGUUUAAACCCAUGUAAGUUUAACUUACAAAAUAAGCAAUUACUUUCAAUAUAAUAAAAAAUUGAUCCAAUCGAAUAUAAUAUAUACGAUUUCAUUGUCAUAAUACCUAAGUUUUGACAGUAGUUUGCUCAUAAUCUACAAAAAAGAAUAAAACUAAAAGAAAGAAAAAAACAUGCAUGGUUGUUCGUCAAACCUAAAUGCCAAUUAUGCAGCGAUAUAAAUAUCCCC